RNAcentral lists this ribosomal RNA (253 nucleotides) under uncultured bacterium. Its description in RNAcentral is "partial 16S ribosomal RNA". It matches the Rfam family "Bacterial small subunit ribosomal RNA", at positions 524 to 776 of the family's 1533-position model. The record is from RNAcentral.
UACGUAGGUGGCAAGCGUUGUCCGGAUUUACUGGGCGUAAAGAGCGCGCAGGCGGUCGUUCAAGUCGCGUGUGAAAGCCCCCGGCUCAACUGGGGAGGGUCACGCGAUACUGAUCGACUCGAAGGCAGGAGAGGGAAGUGGAAUUCCCGGUGUAGUGGUGAAAUGCGUAGAUAUCAGGAGGAACACCUAAGGCGAAGGCAGCUCGCUGGAACGGUACUGACGCUGAGGCGCGAAAGCGUGGGGAGCAAACAGG